UAAACCAUUGACAUAUAACUAUAUAAUUCUAAGCUCGAUGUAGUAAACAAACAAAACUAACCAAAACAAACAUUCUAGGAUGGCGAGUUCAGAAAUUAUUGAAACAACAGAACAUGAAGAAGACUUAGCAACUUCGUUAUCACACGAUGAGUUACUAGAAGUCACACAAUCAUCCCUAGCGACAUUAUUGAGCAAUGAUUCUCUUCUAAAAGAUCUUCCUAGCGACAUUUUAAUUGAGGAAGUCUUAUCGCAGAUAGCUGUUGAACAUGGCCAGUCAAUCACGAUUUUUGUAUCAAGAGAGACUGAACCAACCUUAAAAGUUAUUAUUCCCCAGAAUGCUUCAGUCAGAGGUCUCAAAAAAACAAUACAGAGGCAUUUUGAAUUGUAUCAAAAGAGGGCAGGUAUCAACACAAAGAUAUCCUGGAAAUAUAUCUGGAAGACUUAUAACCUGACUUUCGACAGCACAGUCUUAGAUGACGACAAUGCCCCCAUACAAAGCUAUGGGGUCAUUAACAAAGUUACACUACAGUUCAAGAAAAGAAAAGGAAACAAAAAAAGAUAAUUUCUGUUCAAAGUCGGGCUGCGGCGGCGGUUCCUGCGGCAACGGCUCGAAGUCGCCGAGACUGUAGUGCGGCUCCUCGUGGCGUGGGGUGGCGAGCGGACGGUCGUUUGACAGCAGUAGCGUCGUCACCAGCCCCGAUGGUGUUGGCGCGGGCGUCCUCUUCCGACGCGUACGCAGACUUGUGGUCACACAUCAGUAGACGCAGUGGGAGCGGUAGGGCGCCGGGCGCGGGGCGUCCUCCAGCGAGUGCGGGCCGGCGCAGUAGCCGCUGUGACGCAGCAUCGCGCGGUAGCAGGAUGUCACGUACGAGCACUUCGUGCAGCGGGUUGUGCCCCUACAAGGAUGAGAGAACACAUGAUAAUAUAUAAAAGAGUGCCUCAAAGAGUGGAGUAAAAGUGCCACAAAUAAAAAGAAAAAGUGUCACAAAGAGUGGAGAAACUGUCCCAUAAAGAGUAGAGAAAACGUCCCACAAAGAGUGGAGAAAAUGUCCCAUAAAGAGUAGAGAAAACGUCCCACAAAGAGUGGAGAAAAUGACCCAAAAAGAGUAGAGAAAACGUCCCAAAAAGAGUGGAAAAAAUGUCCCAUAAAGAGUCGAGAAAACGUCCCACAAAGAGUGGAGAAAAUGUCCCAUAAAGAGUCGAGAAAACGUCCCACAAAGAGUGACGAAAACUUCCCAUAAAGAGUCGAGAAAACGUCGUACAAAGGCUGAAAAAAUCCUGCCACAAAGUGAGAAGAAAAAGUUUCCAGUUAUUACCCUAAUAGCUGUAAAACUAAUCUGUAUUAACCAAAUCUAUACAGUAGUUAAGUACACACUGAGAUUAUCGAAAUUUUAUAAAAUGUGUGAACGCAAAAGACAUCAAUGUGUGGACACAAAAGGACCACCUUUUUCCAGAAAUACAUGUUUGUAAGUACAUGUAUGUAUACUUUUCUUUCUAUCUAUAUACUCACAAGAAAUGCUUGUCCCUCUCUAGCGGCGUGUCGCACUCGCGGCACAGCAUGCCGUCGGGCAGCAGCAGCGUCACGUCCUCGUACGUGUCCGACAGCGUGUGGCUCGCUGAGUCCUUCACCGGGGGACGCGCUUUGUUCUAUGAUAAAUAAACUUAAAAUGUAAUAAUGUAACAAAUAAACUUAAAAUACCUAUCAAUAGAAA
RNAcentral lists this unclassified non-coding RNA (1712 nucleotides) under Helicoverpa zea (corn earworm). Its description in RNAcentral is "U11/U12 small nuclear ribonucleoprotein 25 kDa protein-like, transcript variant X3". The record is from RNAcentral. Lineage: Eukaryota; Metazoa; Arthropoda; Insecta; Lepidoptera; Noctuidae.